ACGGAGGAUGCAAGCGUUAUUCGGAUUCAUUGGGCUUAAAGGGUGCGUAGGCGGCUCUUUAAGUCAGUGGUGAAAUCCCGUCGCUCAACGAUAGAAUUGCCAUUGAAACUGAAGAGCUUGAGUUCAGUAGAGGUAAGCGGAAUGUGUAGUGUAGCGGUGAAAUGCGUAGAUAUUACGCGGAACACCGAUGGCGAAGGCGGCUUACUAAACUGAUACUGACGCUGAUGCGCGAAAGCGUGGGGAGCGAACAG
RNAcentral lists this ribosomal RNA (251 nucleotides) under uncultured prokaryote. RNAcentral describes it as "partial 16S rRNA". It matches the Rfam family "Bacterial small subunit ribosomal RNA", at positions 525 to 775 of the family's 1533-position model. The record is from RNAcentral.